GCAUCCGUAGCUCAGCUGGAUAGAGUGCCCGGCUACGAACCGGUAGGUCGGGGGUUCGAAUCCCUCCGGGUGUGCCA
This 77-nucleotide transfer RNA is filed under the name Clostridia bacterium. Its description in RNAcentral is "tRNA-Arg". It matches the Rfam family "tRNA". From Rfam's summary of the family: Transfer RNA (tRNA) molecules are approximately 80 nucleotides in length. Their secondary structure includes four short double-helical elements and three loops (D, anti-codon, and T loops). Lineage: Bacteria; Bacillati; Bacillota; Clostridia. The record is from RNAcentral.